ACACGCAUGACACACUGCAUAUCAAUAAGCGGAGGAAAAGAAACUAACAAGGAUUCCCUUAGUAACGGCGAGUGAAGCGGGAAGAGCUCAAAUUUGAAAUCUUCAAGGUUCUACCUUGACGAAUUGUAGUUUAUAGAAGUGUUUUCUGUUAGUGGAGUGGCAAAAGUUCUUUGGAAUAGGACAUCAUAGAGGGUGAGAAUCCCGUAUUUGGUCAUUCCUCCUAGCGUUGUGAUACACUUUCAACGAGUCGGAUUGUUUGGGAAUGCAGUCCAAAAUGGGUGGUAAAUUUCAUCUAAAGCUAAAUAUUGGCGAGAGACCGAUAGCGAACAAGUACCGUGAGGGAAAGAUGAAAAGAACUUUGAAAAGAGAGUUAAACAGUACGUGAAAUUGUCAAAAGGGAAGCGUUUGACACCAGUGUUGUUUUUCGGAAAAUCAAUUAAAAAUUGAUUCAUGCCAGGUUGUAUUGACCUUAUCAGCUUGCAAUUUGGUUUUGGGUCUCUUUUUGAUGCACUUUUCGGUUAACAAGUCAACAUCAAUUUCCUUUGCUGUAAAAAGGUAAGAGGAAGGUGGCUUGCACUUCGGCUCGAAGUGUUUAUAGCCUUUUAUCUCUGCAGUCGGAGAGAUUGAGGUCUGCAGCGUAGAUCCUUCGGGGUUAGAUACAUUAGUGCUAAGCUAUAGCCUUGUAUAGACAACUUGUUGACUAUGCUUCAGUCAUGUAGCUUACUCGCUAAGUGCUAUUUUACCUACGCUUAGGAUGUUGACUGAUAUGUAGUCGUA
This 777-nucleotide ribosomal RNA is filed under the name uncultured Neocallimastigales. Its description in RNAcentral is "partial large subunit ribosomal RNA". It matches the Rfam family "Eukaryotic large subunit ribosomal RNA", at positions 23 to 644 of the family's 3401-position model. Lineage: Eukaryota; Fungi; Neocallimastigomycota; Neocallimastigomycetes; Neocallimastigales. The record is from RNAcentral.